UACAGAGACUGCAAGCGCUAUUCGGAUUCACUGGGCGUAAAGGGUGCGCAGGCGGCCGUGUGUGUGAGGCGUGAAAGCCCGGGGCUUAACCCCGGAAUUGCACCUCAAACUACACGGCUAGAGCAUUGGAGAGGGUAGCAGAAUUCAUGGUGUAGCAGUGAAAUGCGUAGAUAUCAUGAGGAAUACCAGAGGCGAAGGCGGCUACCUGGACAAUUGCUGACGCUCAGGCACGAAAGCGUGGGGAGCAAAAGGG
Molecule: ribosomal RNA, 253 nt
Filed under: uncultured bacterium
Lineage: Bacteria
Description: partial 16S ribosomal RNA
Rfam family: Bacterial small subunit ribosomal RNA
Source: RNAcentral